Molecule: transfer RNA, 69 nt
Filed under: Rattus norvegicus (Norway rat)
Lineage: Eukaryota; Metazoa; Chordata; Mammalia; Rodentia; Muridae
Rfam family: tRNA
About the family: Transfer RNA (tRNA) molecules are approximately 80 nucleotides in length. Their secondary structure includes four short double-helical elements and three loops (D, anti-codon, and T loops).
Source: Rfam by way of RNAcentral
GGAGAUUUAGCUCAGUGGUAGGGCACUUGCCUAGCAAGCGCAAGGCCCUGGGUUCGGUUCCCAGCUCCG